Molecule: ribosomal RNA, 468 nt
Filed under: uncultured bacterium
Lineage: Bacteria
Description: partial 16S ribosomal RNA
Rfam family: Bacterial small subunit ribosomal RNA
Source: RNAcentral
GACGAACGCUGGCGGCGUGCUUAACACAUGCAAGUCGAACGGAAAGGCCCUGCUUUUGUGGGGUGCUCGAGUGGCGAACGGGUGAGUAACACGUGAGUAACCUGCCCUUGACUUUGGGAUAACUUCAGGAAACUGGGGCUAAUACCGGAUAGGAGCUCCUGCUGCAUGGUGGGGGUUGGAAAGUUUCGGCGGUUGGGGAUGGACUCGCGGCUUAUCAGCUUGUUGGUGGGGUAGUGGCUUACCAAGGCUUUGACGGGUAGCCGGCCUGAGAGGGUGACCGGGCAAAUUGGGAAUGGGGUAACGGCCCGAACCCUUCGGGGGGGAGAAGGGGGGAAAUAUGGCACAAGGGCGGGAGGCUGGAGCAACAACCGCGGGGGGGGGAAUAACGCCUUUGGGGUGGUAACCGGCUUUGGCUUGUGACGAAGGGGGGGUGAGGGAAAUGGGUAAAGAAGCACGGGUAACUUACGG